UACGUAGGGGGCAAGCGUUGUCCGGAUUUAUUGGGCGUAAAGAGCGUGUAGGUGGCCUGGUAGGUCAGCUGUGAAAACUCGAGGCUCAACCUCGAGACGCCGGUUGAAACCAUCAGGCUAGAGUCCGGAAGAGGAGAGUGGAAUUCCCGGUGUAGCGGUGAAAUGCGCAGAUAUCGGGAAGAACACCCGUGGCUAAGGCGGCUCUCUAGUACGGUACUGACGCUGAGACGCGAAAGCGUGGGGAGCGAACAGG
RNAcentral lists this ribosomal RNA (253 nucleotides) under uncultured bacterium. RNAcentral's name for it is "partial 16S ribosomal RNA". It matches the Rfam family "Bacterial small subunit ribosomal RNA", at positions 524 to 776 of the family's 1533-position model. The record is from RNAcentral.